UUACGGCCACACCACGUUGAAACACCAAUUCCCGUACGAUCACCGAAGUUAAGCAAUGUCGGGCCUGGUACUGACUACAGGGAGACCGCUUUGGAAUAGCAGGGGAUGUAA
Molecule: non-coding RNA, 111 nt
Organism: Acanthosepion pharaonis
Lineage: Eukaryota; Metazoa; Mollusca; Cephalopoda; Sepiida; Sepiidae
Source: the annotation of a GenBank genome assembly